Molecule: ribosomal RNA, 468 nt
Filed under: uncultured bacterium
Lineage: Bacteria
Description: partial 16S ribosomal RNA
Rfam family: Bacterial small subunit ribosomal RNA
Source: RNAcentral
GACGAACGCUGGCGGCGUGCUUAACACAUGCAAGUCGAACGGAAAGGCCCUGCUUUUGUGGGGUGCUCGAGUGGCGAACGGGUGAGUAACACGUGAGUAACCUGCCCUUGACUUUGGGAUAACUUCAGGAAACUGGGGCUAAUACCGGAUAGGAGCUCCUGCUGCAUGGUGGGGGUUGGAAAGUUUCGGCGGUUGGGGAUGGACUCGCGGCUUAUCAGCUUGUUGGUGGGGUAGUGGCUUACCAAGGCUUUGACGGGUAGCCGGCCUGAGAGGGUGACCGGCCACAUUGGGACUGAGAUACGGCCCAGACUCCUACGGGAGGCAGCAGUGGGGAAUAUUGCACAAUGGGCGGAAGCCUGAUGCAGCAACGCCGCGUGCGGGAUGACGGCCUUCGGGUUGUAAACCGCUUUCGCCUGUGACGAAGAGUGAGUGACGGUACUGGGUAAAGAAGCACCGGCUAACUACGUG